Molecule: ribosomal RNA, 160 nt
Filed under: uncultured bacterium
Lineage: Bacteria
Description: partial 16S ribosomal RNA
Rfam family: Bacterial small subunit ribosomal RNA
Source: RNAcentral
UAGGGAAUCUUCCGCAAUGGACGAAAGUCUGACGGAGCAACGCCGCGUGAGUGAAGAAGGUUUUCGGAUCGUAAAACUCUGUUGUAAGGGAAGAACUAGUACGUUAGUAACUGAACGUACCUUGACGGUACCUUACCAGAAAGCCACGGCUAACUACGUG